Molecule: small nuclear RNA, 103 nt
Filed under: Pteropus alecto (black flying fox)
Lineage: Eukaryota; Metazoa; Chordata; Mammalia; Chiroptera; Pteropodidae
Source: RNAcentral
UCACUUUGGCAGCACAUAUACUAAAAUUGGAAUGAUACAGAGAAGAUAAACAUCGCCCCUGCGCAAGGAUGACAUGCAAAUUUGUGAAACAUUCCAUAUUUUU